GCAAAAAUUGGAACCUCAUAACACUAAAAACAGUAGACAGGUUCGCAGUAAAAUUCUAUUAGAAAAAAAACUGUACAUGUGGUGUAUUUAUCUCUGAAUAAAAACUGCUACCCUCCACAAGAACAAAUUGCUAGUGGGAAAAAAUGUACAUGUGGUAUAUGUCUCUCUGCAUGAAAAUUGCUACACUCCACAAGAACAAAUUGCCAGUACGAAAAAAAUCCGCGGGAGAUGUUGCUAGUGCGUAUAAUCCAGCGAAAAAUCAUUCAUCAGCAUCAUCCCCCCCAUCCCAUCCCUCCCAAAUCAAAACCUAAAUUCCCC
Molecule: long non-coding RNA, 318 nt
Filed under: Setaria viridis
Lineage: Eukaryota; Viridiplantae; Streptophyta; Magnoliopsida; Poales; Poaceae
Description: long non-coding RNA (SVIR_LNC005807)
Source: RNAcentral